RNAcentral lists this long non-coding RNA (445 nucleotides) under Aquilegia coerulea. Its description in RNAcentral is "long non-coding RNA (ACOE_LNC001320)". Lineage: Eukaryota; Viridiplantae; Streptophyta; Magnoliopsida; Ranunculales; Ranunculaceae. The record is from RNAcentral.
CCAACUUCAGUGUAUCAAUUGGACAUGUGUCUUUUUUGGGGGGAGAUGGACAAGGCUUAGGUGAUCCACCACCACCAACGACUGGAGGAAGUGUAACUGGUGGGAGUUCAACUGGUGGUUUUACGAUUGGAGGAAGUGUAACUGGUGGGAGUUCUACUGGUGGUUUUACAACUGGAGGAAGUGUUACAGGUGGUUUGAUAGGUGGGAGUGUAACUGGAGGUAGUGUUACAGGUGGUUUGAUAGGUGGGAGUGUAACUGGAGGAAGUGUUACAGGUGGUUUUAUAGGUGGGAGUGUAACUGGAGGAAGUGUUACAGGUGGUUUUACGAUGGGAGGGAGUUUAACAGGUGGAAGUUUGACGGGGGGCUUAACACCAGGACCUUUGGAGGGCUUUUUCUUGGGUUGGUGCUUCUUGCAGUAGUCGCAUCCAAGAAUGGGAGUGACAGA